This 242-nucleotide ribosomal RNA is filed under the name uncultured Actinomycetales bacterium. RNAcentral's name for it is "partial 16S ribosomal RNA". It matches the Rfam family "Bacterial small subunit ribosomal RNA", at positions 88 to 334 of the family's 1533-position model. Lineage: Bacteria; Bacillati; Actinomycetota; Actinomycetes; Actinomycetales. The record is from RNAcentral.
UACUCGAGUGGCGAACGGGUGAGUAACACGUGGGUGAUCUGCCCUGCACUCUGGGAUAAGCCUGGGAAACUGGGUCUAAUACCGGAUAGGACCAUGCUUUAGUGUGUGUGGUGGAAAGUUUUUUCGGUGUAGGAUGAGCCCGCGGCCUAUCAGCUUGUUGGUGGGGUAAUGGCCUACCAAGGCGGCGACGGGUAGCCGACUGAGAGGUUGGUCGGCCACAUUGGGACUGAGAUACGGCCCAG